UGGCUGACUUCCUGAGUUUGAAUAUGCUUUAACUAAAUUUGUCAUUAAAAGUGUAACCUUAGAAUUUUCGGUAAUAGAUUUAGUGAAGUAAGAGUCUUUUUUCUUGGCAUGUUGAUUUUGGUUUCCAAUGCUCUUUAUUCAAAACUACUGAAUUUAAUCAUUGCUGUUUUUUUUUCUUUUUGGCCUUGAGAUAAAGAAAGUGCGUUACUUCACUGUCUUUUUGAGAAACCCACCAGAAAGAAGUUUUUUUUUUUUUUUUUUUUUUGGUUUGUUUUAAAUAUUAGCAGGGCCUAGGAGCAUUUCAUACAGGGGCCGCUAGGUGGCAGUGUAGCGGGAGGGCGCAAAGCAGCAUGUGAGAAACCUCUCUGGACAGACCCCAUAGUGGAUGAGGAAGCAGCAAGUGGGGCGGCGCUCUAUGGUGGCCGAGGGACAGCGGCUGCUCUUUUAUCCUAAAUCCAGAAGCGCCCGGGAAGCUGGAUGUAGCUAAGAAAAUGUAAGAGAUGGCCGGCAAUGGAGACUGUGGUCCCUGGUCCCAGAGGGUUCCAGACUCCUCAUCUGAAUGGAUCUCAGCUGAACUGCUGCUCAAAAGCUAAAAGGUAUAUAAGUCCUCAUGCCUUAUAUACCUUUCUGCUUCCUGCCAUCACUUCAUGGGACUAAAGGCCAGUGUCAUCAUGCUUGGAUGUUUCCAGUGUGGCUUUGAACUCACAGAGAGCUGGAUGGAUAUCCCUCCGGAAUGUUAGGAUUAAAGGUGUGUGUACCACCAUUUUCUAGCA
Molecule: non-coding RNA, 773 nt
Organism: Peromyscus maniculatus bairdii (prairie deer mouse)
Lineage: Eukaryota; Metazoa; Chordata; Mammalia; Rodentia; Cricetidae
Source: RefSeq, a predicted model, not a curated record